Molecule: ribosomal RNA, 601 nt
Filed under: Salmonella enterica
Lineage: Bacteria; Pseudomonadati; Pseudomonadota; Gammaproteobacteria; Enterobacterales; Enterobacteriaceae
Description: bacterial SSU rRNA
Rfam family: Bacterial small subunit ribosomal RNA
Source: RNAcentral
GUAAUGUCUGGGAAACUGCCUGAUGGAGGGGGAUAACUACUGGAAACGGUGGCUAAUACCGCAUAACGUCGCAAGACCAAAGAGGGGGACCUUCGGGCCUCUUGCCAUCAGAUGUGCCCAGAUGGGAUUAGCUUGUUGGUGAGGUAACGGCUCACCAAGGCGACGAUCCCUAGCUGGUCUGAGAGGAUGACCAGCCACACUGGAACUGAGACACGGUCCAGACUCCUACGGGAGGCAGCAGUGGGGAAUAUUGCACAAUGGGCGCAAGCCUGAUGCAGCCAUGCCGCGUGUAUGAAGAAGGCCUUCGGGUUGUAAAGUACUUUCAGCGGGGAGGAAGGUGUUGUGGUUAAUAACCGCAGCAAUUGACGUUACCCGCAGAAGAAGCACCGGCUAACUCCGUGCCAGCAGCCGCGGUAAUACGGAGGGUGCAAGCGUUAAUCGGAAUUACUGGGCGUAAAGCGCACGCAGGCGGUCUGUCAAGUCGGAUGUGAAAUCCCCGGGCUCAACCUGGGAACUGCAUUCGAAACUGGCAGGCUUGAGUCUUGUAGAGGGGGGUAGAAUUCCAGGUGUAGCGGUGAAAUGCGUAGAGAUCUGGAGGAAU